This 497-nucleotide ribosomal RNA is filed under the name uncultured bacterium. RNAcentral describes it as "partial 16S ribosomal RNA". It matches the Rfam family "Bacterial small subunit ribosomal RNA", at positions 28 to 507 of the family's 1533-position model. The record is from RNAcentral.
GAUGAACGCUGGCGGCGUGCCUAAUACAUGCAAGUCGAGCGAACAGAUGAGGAGCUUGCUCCUCUGACGUUAGCGGCGGACGGGUGAGUAACACGUGGAUAACCUACCUAUAAGACUGGGAUAACUUCGGGAAACCGGAGCUAAUACCGGAUAAUAUAUUGAACCGCAUGGUUCAAUAGUGAAAGACGGUUUUGCUGUCACUUAUAGAUGGAUCCGCGCCGCAUUAGCUAGUUGGUAAGGUAACGGCUUACCAAGGCAACGAUGCGUAGCCGACCUGAGAGGGUGAUCGGCCACACUGGAACUGAGACACGGUCCAGACUCCUACGGGAGGCAGCAGUAGGGAAUCUUCCGCAAUGGGCGAAAGCCUGACGGAGCAACGCCGCGUGAGUGAUGAAGGUCUUCGGAUCGUAAAACUCCGUUAUUAGGGAAGAACAAAUGUGUAAGUAACUAUGCACGUCUUGACGGUACCUAACCAGAAAGCCACGGCUAACUACGUG